GGGGGAUUAGCUCAGCUGGGAGAGCGCUACAAUGGCAUUGUAGAGGUCACCGGUUCGAUCCCGGUAUCCUCCA
This 73-nucleotide transfer RNA is filed under the name Planctomycetota bacterium. RNAcentral's name for it is "Planctomycetes bacterium (activated sludge metagenome) tRNA-Ala". It matches the Rfam family "tRNA". Rfam says of the family: Transfer RNA (tRNA) molecules are approximately 80 nucleotides in length. Their secondary structure includes four short double-helical elements and three loops (D, anti-codon, and T loops). Lineage: Bacteria; Pseudomonadati; Planctomycetota. The record is from RNAcentral.